Molecule: long non-coding RNA, 1681 nt
Filed under: Rattus norvegicus (Norway rat)
Lineage: Eukaryota; Metazoa; Chordata; Mammalia; Rodentia; Muridae
Description: long non-coding RNA NONRATT026418
Source: RNAcentral
GAUAUCAAGAGAAAGGGUUAAUCUCAAAACAGUUGUGCCACCAGGGUGGGAGGCAGGGCAUCCUGGAGUUACAAAAUCACCAUCAUCUUUCCCAGUAGUCAUGUAGCAUAUGCCUUCUAAUAGGGUGAAGAAAAGUUAUGACAAGGUAGGAUAGAGUCCUGUUGAUGUCCUCAUCUUAUGUGAAACAAAUUCUAAAUGACUGCUCUACUCAAAAUAGAAAUAUACCUUUGCACAUGCUGAAAUCAAUAGUAUGUAUGAAUAUCAAAAAGUGAAAUAGUGUAAGGGGAAUGAAUAUAGUAAAAGACCAAUUGGUAGGCAAAGGGCAGUACUCUGACAUACAAGAACAAAAGCAAUUCAGUUCUGUUACUAUAGAACAAUGUUGCUUAGUGGAUUUAAGUCCUUUGGACAAAUGAUAUAAGAUAAUGAUUUAAGAAUGAUAUAAGAUCCACCUCAUUCACUGAAUUUCUUUUUUUCAAAACAAAUAUUAGUCUCAGCUGUAAAGAAGGCCCUAUCAGAUCCUGAUGUAAGACAGGUGUUGAUAGAGACCUUGGCAGAGGAAAAUGCAAAUACAGAAUGUAAAGAAGGUAUUACACCAUCAAAGACUUGGAAAGCACACAUGGAUGAGUGGAUAAAGUAUGAAACCAAUAUUGGUUCUAACUUGUAUCAUGUUCAUAGCAUAGAUAAAACUAUAGCUAGAAGUCUCUAAUAUCAAAAUGCAUCAAUUGCAUGAAAUACACUCAUUUGAAGAGAUGGGUACCAAGCCAUUAAAGAUCUCAGAUUACAAAAUGGCAGUGUGUUAAAUGCAAAAAAUAUGGUACUUGGCACAGAAUAAGUAAACAAGGCAUCUUUAAAGGUAAUGGUUUUUCUAAAUAUACACUAGAAGAAACAGCCUAGUCAUGGAAGUAUGUACAGGGAAGGUGGCAGGGGUUUACAUUGGACCAAUGCAAGCUUCUGCAGGCUGUGCUGCUCUAUACCUGGCCAUAGAUAAACAUCUUACUGUACCCACCAAAACUCAAUGUUAUAAAAUAUAUACUGGAGUUUAUGGUCUUUUGCCUGCCAGGACAGUAGGAAUGAUCUUGGAAAUGUGCAGAUUGACUCCUCAAGGAUUCAUUGUUCAUCCAAAAAUUAAAGAUGAAGAUUUCAAAAGAGAAAUUAAAAUUAUAGCCUAUGUGAAAACAGAGAUGGCAUUUAAUGCAGGUGGUAGGAAUUGCUGAGCUUCUACUGUUUCCCUACAUCAAAGCCAAAAUGGGUCAAGUAAAAACAGGAGGGUUGAAGUACUAGAAAACAUGUUCUGGGAAACAGUUGUUAAUGAUCAGAGGCCAAAAUUAAAAUUGCAAGUAAAUGGUAUUGAAAUAGUAGGUUUGGUGGAUACAGGAAUGUAGGGCGCCCUCCAGUGGUGAACAACGGUACUGCGCAUGCACAGGUUUUGCACUUGGUGUCAGUUGGCCAGUAAUAUGCUAAUGAGGGGCGGUACCAUGCUAGUGAGGUGAUUCAUUCCCCGCCAAUCCCCGGAGGACAAGUAGUGGGGUGAUAGUGGGAUGACAGUGGGGUGAUAGUAGGGUGACCCGUGCCCCACCAAUCCCUGAAGGAUUAUUAGCAUACUGUUGUGUAUAUAAGGCGAGCACUUUUGACGCUCGACGUCCCCUGUCCCCUGUACAAUAAAGGCUUGUUCGCAGAAGAA